This 429-nucleotide ribosomal RNA is filed under the name bacterium. RNAcentral's name for it is "partial 16S ribosomal RNA". It matches the Rfam family "Bacterial small subunit ribosomal RNA", at positions 355 to 776 of the family's 1533-position model. The record is from RNAcentral.
UAGGGAAUCUUCCACAAUGGACGCAAGUCUGAUGGAGCAACGCCGCGUGAGUGAAGAAGGUUUUCGGAUCGUAAAGCUCUGUUGUUGGUGAAGAAGGAUAGAGGCAGUAACUGGUCUUUAUUUGACGGUAAUCAACCAGAAAGUCACGGCUAACUACGUGCCAGCAGCCGCGGUAAUACGUAGGUGGCAAGCGUUGUCCGGAUUUAUUGGGCGUAAAGCGAGCGCAGGCGGAAUGAUAAGUCUGAUGUGAAAGCCCACGGGUCAACCGUGGAACUGCAUCGGAAACUGUCAUUCUUGAGUGCAGAAGAGGAGAGUGGAAUUCCAUGUGUAGCGGUGGAAUGCGUAGAUAUAUGGAAGAGCACCAGUGGCGAGGGCGGCUCUGUGGUCUGCAAGUGACGCUGAGGCUCGAAAGGAUGGGUGGUGAGCAGG